GAUGAACGCUGGCGGCGUGCCUAAUACAUGCAAGUCGAGCGAACGGACGAGAAGCUUGCUUCUCUGAUGUUAGCGGCGGACGGGUGAGUAACACGUGGAUAACCUACCUAUAAGACUGGGAUAACUUCGGGAAACCGUAGCUAAUACCGGAUAAUAUUUUGAACCGCAUGGUUCAAAAGUGAAAGACGGUCUUGCUGUCACUUAUAGAUGGAUCCGCGCUGCAUUAGCUAGUUGGUAAGGUAACGGCUUACCAAGGCAACGAUGCAUAGCCGACCUGAGAGGGUGAGCGCACAACUGGGAAGUGAGCCGGGGCCCAGACCCCUAGGGAGGGCGACGGGGGGAGAUCUUCCGCAAGGGGAGAAGGCGUAACGGGGCACCGCCGGGGGAGGAAUGAAGGUCUUGGGAUCGAAAAACUUUUUUAUGGGGAAAAAACAUAUGUGAAAGAAACUGGGCACAUCUUGAGGGACCAUAAUAAGAAGGCCCCGACAAACUCCGGG
This 497-nucleotide ribosomal RNA is filed under the name uncultured bacterium. RNAcentral describes it as "partial 16S ribosomal RNA". It matches the Rfam family "Bacterial small subunit ribosomal RNA", at positions 28 to 507 of the family's 1533-position model. The record is from RNAcentral.